GCCGGAGUGGUGAAACUGGUAGACGCACGGGACUCAAAAUCCCGCGGGGCUUAGCCUCAUGGGGGUUCGACUCCCCCCUCCGGCA
Candidatus Schekmanbacteria bacterium GWA2_38_11 is the source of this 85-nucleotide non-coding RNA. The record is from Rfam. Lineage: Bacteria; Candidatus Schekmaniibacteriota.